Zasmidium cellare ATCC 36951 is the source of this 142-nucleotide non-coding RNA. Lineage: Eukaryota; Fungi; Ascomycota; Dothideomycetes; Mycosphaerellales; Mycosphaerellaceae. The record is from the annotation of a RefSeq genome assembly.
GCGUUUGUAGUUUAGGGGUGUGAGUCUCCUACCGAUACUAUAAUCACUUUGGCUUCAAUUCUAACGUCUGGAACGCAGAGAAUACAAGUUUCCCACCGUAAAGGAAGUACUUGUGGUCCGAGUUCGAGUCUCGGCAAACGCA